UUCGAAGCUGGAAAGUCUCGCUCCAACUUGUACGCCGAAUGUAAAAUGUGAACCACCGAAGGGUUAACAAGUGGAAAUGCCAAACACUCGUCGCACACCACUUCCCAUUACCCUCGUAGCCACCACAAUUAUUUCCCGCUGAAACUCAUGUUUAAUAUACACUUGCACGCGUAGAUAGCUGGGAAACUAAAAGUAUAGAAAGCAUGACAGAUAACUGGACAGACAGCGGCAGUGCAGAAAUAUAACAAUCGUUUGUUUCAUUGACAUAAACUUGAAAGCGACCGAUUCACUUCAAUUUAUACUACAAAUACUCUGAGAUUAUAUCACAUUACAGAUCACUUAGUAGGAACAAUGUUUUUAGUUAUUUUGUUUUGUUUUGUUCUGUAUGUUAUUAAUGAUGUAAAGGCGUUAUAUAUAUGAACUUUUCUUACAGUAUGUAGCAGCAAUUUUUGAAAUAUAUUUUGCAUAUAAACAUCGGCUAUACACGUCAUACACCA
Molecule: long non-coding RNA, 497 nt
Organism: Penaeus monodon (black tiger shrimp)
Lineage: Eukaryota; Metazoa; Arthropoda; Malacostraca; Decapoda; Penaeidae
Exons: 2
Source: RefSeq, a predicted model, not a curated record